UGCAGUCGAACGAUGAAGCCGGGUGCUUGCACCGGGUGGAUUAGUGGCGAACGGGUGAGUAUCACGUGAGUAACCUGCCCUUGACUCUGGGAUAAGCCUGGGAAACUGGGUCUAAUACCGGAUAUGACCAGUCCUCGCAUGGGGUGCUGGUGGAAAGAUUUCAUCGGUCUUGGAUGGACUCGCGGCCUAUCAGUUUGUUGGUGAGGUAAUGGCUCACCAAGGCGAUGACGGGUAGCCGGCCUGAGAGGGUGACCGGCCACACUGGGACUGAGACACGGCCCAGACUCCUACGGGAGGCAGCAGUGGGGAAUAUUGCACAAUGGGCGCAAGCCUGAUGCAGCGACGCCGCGUGCGGGAUGACGGCCUUCGGGUUGUAAACCGCUUUCAGCAGGGAAGAAGCUUUUUGUGACGGUACCUGCAGAAGAAGCGCCGGCUAACUACGUGCCAGCAGCCGCGGUAAUACGUAGGGCGCGAGCGUUAUCCGGAAUUAUUGGGCGUAAAGGGCUCGCAGGCGGUUUGCCACGUCUGCUGUGAAAGCCCGGGGCUUAACUCCGGGUGUGCAGUGGGUACGGGUAGACUAGAGUGCAGUAGGGGAGACUGGAAUUCCUGGUGUAGCGGUGAAAUGCGCAGAUAUCAGGAAGAACACCGAUGGCGAAGGCAGGUCUCUGGGCUGUUACUGACGCUGAGGAGCGAAAGCAUGGGGAGCGAACAGGAUUAGAUACCCUGGUAGUCCAUGCCGUAAACGUUGGGCACUAGGUGUGGGGGACAUUCCACGUUUUCCGCGCCGUAGCUACGCAUUAAGUGCCCCGCCUGGGGAGUACGGCCGCAAGGCUAAAACUCAAAGGAAUUGACGGGGCCCGCACAAGCGGCGGAGCAUGCGGAUUAAUUCGAUGCAACGCGAGAACCUUACCAAGGCUUGACAUGGACCGGAUCGCUGCAGAGAUGUAGUUUCCCUUCGGGGCUGGUUCACAGUGGUGCAUGGUGUCGUCAGCUCGUGUCGUGA
Molecule: ribosomal RNA, 1003 nt
Filed under: Nesterenkonia halobia
Lineage: Bacteria; Bacillati; Actinomycetota; Actinomycetes; Micrococcales; Micrococcaceae
Description: bacterial SSU rRNA
Rfam family: Bacterial small subunit ribosomal RNA
Source: RNAcentral